UUGGUGUCAUAUUUAUAUAUUUGUUCAUUUUCUGUCAAAGUCUAAAUCUACCGUGAUUUCUAUACUCGCUUUCCUAUUUUAAAACAAUUCCUUAUGUACUUAGAUUCGAAAUGUGGUUUGCAUUUUUUUUUAUUAUAACUGUGUAGAUGUAGGUUCAGUAUGUGGUUAAAGUUUUAAUAUAUCAAUAACUAAGUUUAUGUCAAACUAUCGUAUAAUUUUACGAUAGCUGGACACAAACUGUUUAUGGUCAAAAGAGCAUCCAGUGCAUCAUGACGAAAUUAUAUAUGAUUUAUUUUCCCGUAAUUUAUGGAUGUUUAAAAGGAAUUUCUGGACGUAUCUACAUUCUGAGGUUAAAAUUUGGUGCAUAUAAAUUAUUUGUAAACCCGUGGUCAAAGUUAAUGAAACUUUCUUGGAGGAAAACGCGUAUAGCGCAAGAAUAAAAUUCCAUCCUGGUAAUUAUGAUGUCGAGUUAAUUUACAUGAUUAAUUUAUAAACCUCCAUAUUUUGUAAUGAAACUUGUGCAGAAAUUAAAUGAAAAUAUUUGAUUUGUUUAAAUCCUGUAAUGGACUGAUAUUGAAUAAACAUAAAAAAAAUUACUAUCUUGAAUCUAAAGAAUGUUGUUAUUGAUAUGAGUUUUCAAUAUUAAACAGGAAUGGUAUGGCAUUCUCAAUAACUUUAAAACUUCCGAAGGCUUAGCACCCGCUCAUCUACUACCAGCUGGUAUGAUUGGCCUGGAUCCAAUAGGGCCUUUA
RNAcentral lists this long non-coding RNA (752 nucleotides) under Mytilus galloprovincialis (Mediterranean mussel). The record is from RNAcentral. Lineage: Eukaryota; Metazoa; Mollusca; Bivalvia; Mytilida; Mytilidae.